RNAcentral lists this ribosomal RNA (905 nucleotides) under Haemophilus haemolyticus. RNAcentral describes it as "bacterial SSU rRNA". It matches the Rfam family "Bacterial small subunit ribosomal RNA", at positions 1 to 895 of the family's 1533-position model. The record is from RNAcentral. Lineage: Bacteria; Pseudomonadati; Pseudomonadota; Gammaproteobacteria; Pasteurellales; Pasteurellaceae.
UUGAAUUGAAGAGUUUGAUCAUGGCUCAGAUUGAACGCUGGCGGCAGGCUUAACACAUGCAAGUCGAACGGUAGCAGGAGAAAGCUUGCUUUCUUGCUGACGAGUGGCGGACGGGUGAGUAAUGCUUGGGAAUCUGGCUUAUGGAGGGGGAUAACUACGGGAAACUGUAGCUAAUACCGCGUAGUAUCGGAAGAUGAAAGUGCGGGACCGUAAGGCCGCAUGCCAUGAGAUGAGCCCAAGUGGGAUUAGGUAGUUGGUGGGGUAAAGGCCUACCAAGCCUGCGAUCUCUAGCUGGUCUGAGAGGAUGGCCAGCCACACUGGAACUGAGACACGGUCCAGACUCCUACGGGAGGCAGCAGUGGGGAAUAUUGCGCAAUGGGGGGAACCCUGACGCAGCCAUGCCGCGUGAAUGAAGAAGGCCUUCGGGUUGUAAAGUUCUUUCGGUAUUGAGGAAGGAGUGUAUGUUAAUAGCAUACAUUAUUGACGUUAAAUACAGAAGAAGCACCGGCUAACUCCGUGCCAGCAGCCGCGGUAAUACGGAGGGUGCGAGCGUUAAUCGGAAUAACUGGGCGUAAAGGGCACGCAGGCGGUUAUUUAAGUGAGGUGUGAAAGCCCCGGGCUUAACCUGGGAAUUGCAUUUCAGACUGGGUAACUAGAGUACUUUAGGGAGGGGUAGAAUUCCACGUGUAGCGGUGAAAUGCGUAGAGAUGUGGAGGAAUACCGAAGGCGAAGGCAGCCCCUUGGGAAUGUACUGACGCUCAUGUGCGAAAGCGUGGGGAGCAAACAGGAUUAGAUACCCUGGUAGUCCACGCUGUAAACGCUGUCGAUUUGGGGAUUGGGCUUUAAGCUUGGUGCCCGUAGCUAACGUGAUAAAUCGACCGCCUGGGGAGUACGGCCGCAAGGUU